RNAcentral lists this ribosomal RNA (200 nucleotides) under uncultured bacterium. Its description in RNAcentral is "partial 16S ribosomal RNA". It matches the Rfam family "Bacterial small subunit ribosomal RNA", at positions 28 to 231 of the family's 1533-position model. The record is from RNAcentral.
GAUGAACGCUAGCGGCAGGCUUAACACAUGCAAGUCGAGGGGUAUAGUUCUUCGGAAUUAGAGACCGGCGCACGGGUGCGUAACGCGUAUGCAAUCUACCUUUUACAGAGGGAUAGCCCAGAGAAAUUUGGAUUAAUACCUCAUAGUAUAACGACCUGGCAUCAGGAUGUUAUUAAAGUCACAACGGUAAAAGAUGAGCA